Molecule: unclassified non-coding RNA, 345 nt
Filed under: soil metagenome
Description: partial contains 5.8S ribosomal RNA, internal transcribed spacer 2, and large subunit ribosomal RNA
Rfam family: 5.8S ribosomal RNA (bases 1-120)
Source: RNAcentral
GAUGAAGAACGUAGCGAAAUGCGAUAAGUAAUGUGAAUUGCAGAAUUCCGUGAAUCAUCGAAUCUUUGAACGCACAUUGCGCCCCCUGGUAUUCCGGGGGGCAUGCCUGUCCGAGCGUCAUUGCUGCCCUCAAGCACGGCUUGUGUGUUGGGCCUCCGUCCUCCUCCCGGGGGACGGGCCCGAAAGGCAGCGGCAGCACCGCGUCCGGUCCUCGAGCGUAUGGGGCUUCGUCACCCGCUCUUGUAGGCCCGGCCGGCGCUUGCCGACACAUCAAUCUUUUUUCCAGGUUGACCUCGGAUCAGGUAGGGAUACCCGCUGAACUUAAGCAUAUCAAUAAGCGGAGGA